Molecule: non-coding RNA, 72 nt
Organism: Otolemur garnettii (small-eared galago)
Lineage: Eukaryota; Metazoa; Chordata; Mammalia; Primates; Galagidae
Source: Rfam
GCAGUGCCCUACCCAGAAAAGGACCAGUCACUGAGACUCGGUUUCUGGGUCCUUUCUGAGUAGAGUAAGGUU